GGGCUUGUAGCGCAGCUGGUAGCGCGCCCGCUCGGCAGGCGGGAGGUCGGCGGUUCGAAUCCGCCCUGGUCCAC
Molecule: transfer RNA, 74 nt
Filed under: Phytohabitans houttuyneae
Lineage: Bacteria; Bacillati; Actinomycetota; Actinomycetes; Micromonosporales; Micromonosporaceae
Description: tRNA-Ala
Rfam family: tRNA
About the family: Transfer RNA (tRNA) molecules are approximately 80 nucleotides in length. Their secondary structure includes four short double-helical elements and three loops (D, anti-codon, and T loops).
Source: RNAcentral